RNAcentral lists this ribosomal RNA (357 nucleotides) under uncultured bacterium. RNAcentral's name for it is "bacterial SSU rRNA". It matches the Rfam family "Bacterial small subunit ribosomal RNA", at positions 1 to 334 of the family's 1533-position model. The record is from RNAcentral.
GUGAGUAGUUCAGAGUUUGAUCCUGGCUCAGGAUGAACGCUGGCGGCGUGCUUAACACAUGCAAGUCGAACGAAGCACUUACCAAGGAUUCUUUCGGGAUGACUAAUAAGUGACUGAGUGGCGGACGGGUGAGUAACGCGUGGGUAACCUACCUCAUACAGGGGGAUAACAGUUAGAAAUGACUGCUAAUACCGUAUAAGCGCACAGUACUGCAUGGUACAGUGUGAAAAAACUCCGGUGGUAUGAGAUGGACCCGCGUCUGAUUAGCUAGUUGGUAAGGUAAUGGCUUACCAAGGCGACGAUCAGUAGCCGGCUUGAGAGAGUGAACGGCCACAUUGGAACUGAGACACGGUCCAA